AAGUUAGAAAGGGCACACGGAGGAUGCCUAGGCUUCCGGAGGCGAAGAAGGACGUGGCAAGCUGCGAAAAGCUGCGGGGAGCUGCAGGCGAGCGUAGAUCCGCAGAUAUCCGAAUGGGGCAACCCUUCCGCUGAAGGCGGAAAUCCCGCAAGGGAGGCGAACCCGGGGAACUGAAACAUCUAAGUACCCGGAGGAGGAGAAAACAACAGUGAUUCCCUUAGUAGUGGCGAGCGAACGGGGAGGAGCCCAAACCCAUGGUGUUUAGGCACGAUGGGGGUAGUAGGACUGGCAAAGAGUAUGCGCAUUUGAAGCGGAAGCAGUUGGAAUGCUGCGCCGGAGAAGGUGAGAGCCCUGUAUGCGUAGAGAUGCGAUAUACGAGCCAGGAUCCUGAGUAGCGCGGGACACGAGGAAUCCUGUGUGAAUCAGCCGGGACCAUCCGGUAAGGCUAAAUACUCCCGGAAGACCGAUAGUGAACCAGUACCGUGAGGGAAAGGUGAAAAGAACCCUGAGGAAGGGGGUGAAAGAGAACCUGAAACCGUGUGUCUACAAGCGGUCGGAGCCUUAGGGCGACGGCGUGCCUUUUGCAUAAUGAGCCUACGAGUUGCUCAUCACCGGCGAGGUUAAUCUGUUCAGCAGAGGAGCCGAAGCGAAAGCGAGUCUGAAGAGGGCGCAUAGUCGGUGGUGGCAGACGCGAAACCUUGUGAUCUACCCUUGGCCAGGCUGAAGCUUCGGUAACACGGAGUGGAGGGCCGAACCAGUAAGCGUUGAAAAGCUUUUGGAUGAGCUGAGGGUAGGGGUGAAAGGCUAAUCAAACUGGGAAAUAGCUCGUACUCCCCGAAAUGCAUUUAGGUGCAGCCUUGUGGUAGAGUAUAUCAGAGGUAGAGCCACUGAUAGGAUGCGGGGGUUUCACCGCCUACCAAAUCCUGACAAACUCCGAAUGCUGAUAUAUAUACACAGGAGUGAGGGCCGGGGUGCUAAGGUCACGGUCCGAGAGGGAAAGAACCCAGAGCAACGGCUAAGGUCCCGAAGUUAUCGCUAAGUUGUUCAAACGAGGUCAGACUGCAUUGACAGCUAGGAUGUUGGCUUGGAAGCAGCCAUUCAUUUAAAGAGUGCGUAACAGCUCACUAGUCGAGCGGUUUGGCAUGGACAAUAAUCGGGCAUAAGCGAUACACCGAAGCCUUGCUGUCCGUUAGGGGCAGGUAGGGGAGCAUUCUGUAUGCGGAGAAGGAUAGCUGUGAGGCUUACUGGAGCGUACAGAAGAGAAAAUGUAGGCAUAAGUAACGAUAAGGCGGGUGAGAAACCUGCCCACCGAAAGACUAAGGUUUCCCGGGCGAUGUUAAUCAACCCGGGGUAAGUCGGGAGCUAAGGCGAGAUCGUUGUAAAGGCGGUGUAGCUGAUGCCAAAUCGGUUAAUAUUCCGAUACCUGCUUACAAUGCGAUGCGGGGACGAAGGUGUGACACCUCCGCCUGGAGACGGAAUACCAGGUUAAAGCUUGUAGGUAAACUGGCAGCAGGCAAAUCCACUGCUAGUGCCGAAGGUGAUAGUACUCAGAGUCUUCGGACGAUGAGACAGAGAGGGUAAACGUACUUCCGAGAAAAGCCGCUAAGCUUCAGUUGUAAGCAGCCCGUACCGCAAACCGACACAGGUAGUCGAGGAGAGUAUCCUAAGGUGCUCGAGUGAGUCGUGGCUAAGGAACUAGGCAAAUUGACCCCGUAACUUCGGGAUAAGGGGACCCUGACGGAGACGUUGGGGCGCAGAGAAAUGGCCCAGGCGACUGUUUAUCAAAAACACAGGACUCUGCGAAUUCGAAAGAAGAAGUAUAGGGUCUGACACCUGCCCGGUGCCGGAAGGUUAAGAGGAGGGGUUAGCCUUAAGGCGAAGCUCUGAAUUGAAGCCCCGGUAAACGGCGGCCGUAACUAUAACGGUCCUAAGGUAGCGAAAUUCCUUGUCGGGUAAGUUCCGACCUGCACGAAUGGUGUAACGAUCUGGGCACUGUCUCAGCCACGAGCUCGGUGAAAUUGUAGUCUCGGUGAAGAUGCCGGGUACCCGCAAUGGGACGAAAAGACCCCGUGAACCUUCACUACAGCUUAGUAUUGACUUUGGACAACGGAUGUGUAGGAUAGGUGGGAGACUGAGAAGCUGUGGCGCCAGCCAUGGUGGAGUCGCCGUUGAAAUACCACCCUUUCGUUGUUUGAAGCCUAACCUCAUCAAGGGGGACAGUGCUUGGCGGGUAGUUUGACUGGGGUGGUCGCCUCCAAAAGAGUAACGGAGGCUUCCAAAGGUGCCCUCAGCACGCUUGGCAACCGUGCGUAGAGUGCAAUGGCAUAAGGGCGCUUGACUGUGAGGCCGACAAGCCGAUCAGGUGGGAAACCAGGGCAUAGUGAUCCGGUGGCGCUGUAUGGGCAGGCCAUCGCUCAAAGGAUAAAAGGUACUCCGGGGAUAACAGGCUGAUCCUUCCCAAGAGCUCACAUCGACGGGGGGGUUUGGCACCUCGAUGUCGGCUCGUCACAUCCUGGGGCUGGAGAAGGUCCCAAGGGUUGGGCUGUUCGCCCAUUAAAGUGGCACGCGAGCUGGGUUCAGAACGUCGCGAGACAGUUCGGUCUCUAUCUAUUGCGGGCGUUAGAAAUUUGAGGGGAGCUGCCAUUAGUACGAGAGGACCGUGGCGGACGCACCACUAGUGUACCUGUUGUGGCGCCAGCUGCACCGCAGGGUAGCUAUGUGCGGAAGUGAUAAGCGCUGAAAGCAUAUAAGCGCGAAACACACCCCAAGAUGAGAUUUCUUUUAAGGGUCGUUCGAGAUGAGGACGUUGAUAGGCUGCAGGUGUAAAGGCAGUAAUGUCAUAGCCGAGCAGUACUAAUUACCCGUAAACUUC
Molecule: ribosomal RNA, 2872 nt
Filed under: Thermaurantimonas aggregans
Lineage: Bacteria; Pseudomonadati; Bacteroidota; Flavobacteriia; Flavobacteriales; Schleiferiaceae
Description: 23S ribosomal RNA
Rfam family: Bacterial large subunit ribosomal RNA
Source: RNAcentral